Molecule: ribosomal RNA, 468 nt
Filed under: uncultured bacterium
Lineage: Bacteria
Description: partial 16S ribosomal RNA
Rfam family: Bacterial small subunit ribosomal RNA
Source: RNAcentral
GACGAACGCUGGCGGUGUGCUUAACACAUGCAAGUCGAACGGAAAGGCCCUGCUUUUGUGGGGUGCUCGAGUGGCGAACGGGUGAGUAACACGUGAGUAACCUGCCCUUGACUUUGGGAUAACUUCAGGAAACUGGGGCUAAUACCGGAUAGGAGCUCCUGCAGCAUGGUGGGGGGUGGAACGUUUCGGCGGUUGGGGAUGGACUCGCGGCUUAUGGCCUAGUUGGUGGGGUAGUGGCUUGCCAAGGCUUUGACGGGUAGCCCGCCUGGGAGGGUGGCCGGCCACAUUGGGCCUGAGAUACGGCCCAGACUCGUACGGGGGGCAGCGGUGGGGAAUAUUGCACAGUGGGCGGGAGCCUGAUACAGCAACGCCGCGGUCGUGAUGACGGCCUGCUGGUUAUAAACCGCUUUCGCCUGUGACGAAGCUUGAGUGACGGUAAUGGGUAAAGAAGCACCGGCUAACUACGUG